GAUCAAGUGUCAAAAGGGCAUUUGGUGGAUGCCUUGGCAUGCACAGGCGAUGAAGGACGUGAUACGCUGCGAUAAGCCGUGGGGAGCUGCGAAUAAGCUUUGAUCCAUGGAUCUCCGAAUGGGGGAACCCACCUUAAAUGCUUGGAAAAUUUAAGUCGUGCGCAAGUACGGCUUAGGUUUCCAAGCAUUGUUUAAAGGUAUCUUA
Molecule: ribosomal RNA, 205 nt
Filed under: Sinorhizobium sp. GL2
Lineage: Bacteria; Pseudomonadati; Pseudomonadota; Alphaproteobacteria; Hyphomicrobiales; Rhizobiaceae
Description: partial 23S ribosomal RNA
Rfam family: Bacterial large subunit ribosomal RNA
Source: RNAcentral